GAAAGGCCAAUCAAACCGGGAGAUAGCUGGUUCUCCCCGAAAGCUAUUUAGGUAGCGCCUCGUGAAUUCAUCUCCGGGGGUAGAGCACUGUUUCGGCAAGGGGGUCAUCCCGACUUACCAACCCGAUGCAAACUGCGAAUACCGGAGAAUGUUAUCACGGGAGACACACGGCGGGUGCUAACGUCCGUCGUGAAGAGGGAAACAACCCAGACCGCCAGCUAAGGUCCCAAAGUCAUGGUUAAGUGGGAAACGAUGUGGGAAGGCCCAGACAGCCAGGAUGUUGGCUUAGAAGCAGUCAUCAUUUAAAGAAAGCGUAAUAGCUCACUGGUCGAGUCGGCCUGCGCGGAAGAUGUAACGGGGCUAAACCAUGCACCGAAGCUGCGGCAGCGACGCU
This 394-nucleotide ribosomal RNA is filed under the name Escherichia coli. RNAcentral's name for it is "bacterial LSU rRNA". It matches the Rfam family "Bacterial large subunit ribosomal RNA", at positions 823 to 1215 of the family's 2925-position model. Lineage: Bacteria; Pseudomonadati; Pseudomonadota; Gammaproteobacteria; Enterobacterales; Enterobacteriaceae. The record is from RNAcentral.